UACGUAGGUGGAAAGCGUUGUCCGGAAUUAUUGGGCGUAAAGCGCGCGCAGGCGGUCCCUUAAGUCUGAUGUGAAAGCCCACGGCUCAACCGUGGAGGGUCAUUGGAAACUGGGGGACUUGAGUGCAGAAGAGGAAAGUGGAAUUCCAUGUGUAGCGGUGAAAUGCGUAGAGAUGUGGAGGCACACCAGUGGCGAAGGCGACUUUCUGGUCUGUAACUGACGCUGAGGCGCGAAAGCGUGGGGAGCAAACAGG
Molecule: ribosomal RNA, 253 nt
Filed under: uncultured bacterium
Lineage: Bacteria
Description: partial 16S ribosomal RNA
Rfam family: Bacterial small subunit ribosomal RNA
Source: RNAcentral